RNAcentral lists this ribosomal RNA (422 nucleotides) under uncultured archaeon. RNAcentral describes it as "partial 16S ribosomal RNA". It matches the Rfam family "Archaeal small subunit ribosomal RNA", at positions 323 to 746 of the family's 1478-position model. The record is from RNAcentral.
CUACGGGUCGCACCAGGCGCGAAACCUUUACAAUGCACGCAAGUGUGAUAAGGGGAUCCUAAGUGCUCAUGCAUUGCAUGGGCUUUUGCCAAGAGUAAAUAUCUUGGCGAAUAAGUGGUGGGUAAGACUGGUGCCAGCCGCCGCGGUAACACCAGCGCCACGAGUGGCAACCGCGUUUAUUGGGCCUAAAGCGUCCGCAGCCGGUUGAAUAAAUCUCUUGUGAAAUCGUCAGGCUUAACUUGACGGCAUGCAUGAGACACUGUUCAACUUGAGACCGGGAGGAGUCAGAGGUAUUCCAGGGGGAGCGGUAAAAUGUGAUAAUCCCUGGAGGAUCACCUAUGGCGAAGGCAUCUGACCAGAACGGAUCUGACGGUCAGGGACGAAGGCUAGGGAAGCGAUCCGGAUUAGAUACCCUUGUAGUC